AUCUAGUUGAUGAGUCUUUAAUAGGACGAAACUAGAGUCCUGUAU
This 45-nucleotide non-coding RNA is filed under the name Schistosoma margrebowiei. Lineage: Eukaryota; Metazoa; Platyhelminthes; Trematoda; Strigeidida; Schistosomatidae. The record is from RNAcentral.